AUGGUAUUGAGUGUUGUGAUAUUGAACUUCACAUACAUUGCACGUAAUUUCUGGAAUAGGACGAUCGCUUCAUCUGCGCAAUUAUUUCUACAAAGUCCUCCAAGAAUUAUAUUAUAUGCAGAAAUGCUCACCAUUAUUCCACUUUCGAUCAUCUCAUGGAACAUUUUCUUUGCAUCAGCAGUUCUCCCAAAUUAA
RNAcentral lists this ribosomal RNA (195 nucleotides) under Triticum aestivum (bread wheat). RNAcentral's name for it is "partial small subunit ribosomal RNA". The record is from RNAcentral. Lineage: Eukaryota; Viridiplantae; Streptophyta; Magnoliopsida; Poales; Poaceae.